Molecule: long non-coding RNA, 242 nt
Filed under: Elaeis guineensis (African oil palm)
Lineage: Eukaryota; Viridiplantae; Streptophyta; Magnoliopsida; Arecales; Arecaceae
Description: long non-coding RNA (EGUI_LNC068781)
Source: RNAcentral
AUUGGCCUUAUCAUUGAAGACCAUACGAUGCCUUUUAUCAAUCCUAUCAUUGAAGACCAUACGACAACCUUUGAUCGGCCCUAUCAUUGAAGAUAGAGAUGGCCUUAGACCGGCCAAAGAAAAAAGAAAUUGACAAGCAUCCACAAUGCACAAAGACAUGGAGAGAACCAAAAUGAUAUUUUCAUUUAUAAUAUUUACAAAAAAGAUGAUGCCCACAGCACCACUUUUCAAAAAAGAAAAAA